CUAUCUGAGUCUAAGGCGAAGUCGCUGGUAGCAGUACUUUGAAGCUAAAGUUUUAAGCCAAAACGACCAUAAAUACAGACUUGAUAAUCAUAUUCACUGAUGACGUCAAAAGGGUUUCCAUGACACAACAGCCACAAGUUAAAUACCGU
This 149-nucleotide small RNA is filed under the name Yersinia enterocolitica. RNAcentral describes it as "PepN 5' UTR thermometer". It matches the Rfam family "PepN 5' UTR thermometer". Rfam says of the family: Position upstream of pepN gene responsible for amino acid processing. RNAcentral also lists the same sequence under 1 other name. Lineage: Bacteria; Pseudomonadati; Pseudomonadota; Gammaproteobacteria; Enterobacterales; Yersiniaceae. The record is from RNAcentral.